RNAcentral lists this unclassified non-coding RNA (288 nucleotides) under uncultured fungus. Its description in RNAcentral is "partial contains 5.8S rRNA and ITS2". Lineage: Eukaryota; Fungi. The record is from RNAcentral.
AACGCAAAUUGCGCCGCCUUACCUUCAUGCCUGCUUCCGUGUGCUAGGGGAAUUAAUUCUCAUUAUACAAUAUUUUGCGGUUGAGGCACAUUUAUGUUCUUCUUUCGUUACAUAUGAAGGUGUGAAAGAUGAGUAAUCUCUCACACUGGCAAACGAAGUAGUCAUGCUUGUUCGUGGUCUCGUUUAACCAGUGCUAAAGGUUUUUGCUUAGCUAUAAAUCACAUCUAAUCAACUAAAUAUCUCCAAAAGUGGCAUCUGAAAUCAGACAGGGAUACCCGCUGAACUUAA